UACGUAGGGCGCGAGCGUUGUCCGGAUUUAUUGGGCGUAAAGAGCUCGUAGGCGGCUCAUUGCGUCAACCGUGAAAACCAGCAGCUCAACUGUUGGCUUGCGGUUGAUACGGGUGGGCUGGAGUUCGGUAGGGGAGACUGGAAUUCCUGGUGUAGCGGUGAAAUGCGCAGAUAUCAGGAGGAACACCGGUGGCGAAGGCGGGUCUCUGGGCCGAUACUGACGCUGAGGAGCGAAAGCGUGGGGAGCGAACAGG
RNAcentral lists this ribosomal RNA (253 nucleotides) under uncultured bacterium. RNAcentral describes it as "partial 16S ribosomal RNA". It matches the Rfam family "Bacterial small subunit ribosomal RNA", at positions 524 to 776 of the family's 1533-position model. The record is from RNAcentral.